GGGAAAGUGACUCUGUGGUAGAGUGCUUGCCUUGCAUGCAUGAGGCCCUGGGUUCGAUUCCUCAGCACCA
RNAcentral lists this transfer RNA (70 nucleotides) under Dipodomys ordii (Ord's kangaroo rat). It matches the Rfam family "tRNA". From Rfam's summary of the family: Transfer RNA (tRNA) molecules are approximately 80 nucleotides in length. Their secondary structure includes four short double-helical elements and three loops (D, anti-codon, and T loops). Further hydrogen bonds mediate the characteristic L-shaped molecular structure. tRNAs have two regions of fundamental functional importance: the anti-codon, which is responsible for specific mRNA codon recognition, and the 3' end, to which the tRNAs corresponding amino acid is attached (by aminoacyl-tRNA synthetases). tRNAs cope with the degeneracy of the genetic code in two manners: having more than one tRNA (with a specific anti-codon) for a particular amino acid; and 'wobble' base-pairing, i.e. permitting non-standard base-pairing at the 3rd anti-codon position. Lineage: Eukaryota; Metazoa; Chordata; Mammalia; Rodentia; Heteromyidae. The record is from Rfam by way of RNAcentral.